UGUCAGGCCACGUGUCCAUGAAAUACCUCUCCCGCCAGGAGAGGGAGAAGGUCAACCAGCUUCGACAAAGGGACCUCGACCUGGUGUUUGAUAAGAUCACCCAACUCAAGAACCAGCUGGGGAGGAAAGAGGAGCUGUUGAGAGGAUAUGAAAAGGACGUUGAACAGCUCAGGCGGAGCAAAGUGUCCGUUGAGAUGUACCAGUCGCAGGUGGCAAAGCUGGAGGAUGAUAUCUACAAAGAGGCUGAAGAGAAGGCCCUGCUGAAGGAGGCCCUGGAGCGCAUGGAGCACCAGCUGUGCCAGGAGAAGAGGAUCAACAGGGCCAUCCGGCAGCAGAAGAUGGGAGCUUCCAGCCCCUGCCUCGCAGGCGGAUGGUGAGGAUGAAAGAAUGCAGGCAUCCCUCGCUAUCUGCUGUCCACUCUCGCUGUCGUCAUACCUCAGGAGCCAAGUGCUUUCGGAUGGUUGGAACCAGAAAAGCCUCCCUAAAGAUGGACCAAGAAAGAGAGAUGCUGAGGAAAGAGACCUCCAGCAAGUCCAGCCAGAGCCUUUUGCAUUCUAAGCCCAGUGGAAAGUACUAGAGAAACCUCGUCCCACCAGGCCUCAUGUGAUCCUCUGUGAGUUCAUGUGACUCUUCUGUGUCAUCUGUGUCAAAAUACUGAGUUGCUUUUGUAGGUCUUUAAAGAUUGUUACCCUA
This 693-nucleotide small RNA is filed under the name Pan troglodytes (chimpanzee). Its description in RNAcentral is "processed transcript". Lineage: Eukaryota; Metazoa; Chordata; Mammalia; Primates; Hominidae. The record is from RNAcentral.